Molecule: unclassified non-coding RNA, 353 nt
Filed under: soil metagenome
Description: partial contains 5.8S ribosomal RNA, internal transcribed spacer 2, and large subunit ribosomal RNA
Rfam family: 5.8S ribosomal RNA (bases 1-120)
Source: RNAcentral
GAUGAAGAACGUAGCAAAAUGCGAUAAGUAAUGUGAAUUGCAGAAUUCAGUGAAUCAUCGAAUCUUUGAACGCACAUUGCGCCCGCCAGUAUUCUGGCGGGCAUGUCUGUUCGAGCGUCAUUACAACCCUCAGGCCCCCGGGCCUGGCGUUGGGGAUCGGCGGAAAGCCCCCUGUGGGCAUACGCCGUCCCCUAAAUACAGUGGCGGUCCCGCCGCAGCUUCCAUUGCGUAGUAGCUAACACCUCGCAACUGGAGAGCGGCGCGGCCAAGCCGUAAAACACCCAACUUCUGAAUGUUGACCUCGAAUCAGGUAGGAAUACCCGCUGAACUUAAGCAUAUCAAUAAGCGGAGGA